GGCUGGAGGCGGCUGCGGCAUGUGCGGGGCGGGACGGGCUCCGCGGCCUCCCUUCUGCCGCCGGGCACUUGGUGGCCGUGUUAGCUGUGGUCGCUUUGAAACUGCACGUGGAGAGUCAGGGGAAGGCUGUCCGAGCAGCAGUAAUGUUGAGAAAGUGAUGCGGUGCAAAACCAGUACUUGGAGUGCUUCCUGUGUAGUCAAGGCUACCAGCAGUCAUACUCAAUGAGGAUUGCGACCAAAUUGCUGUGCUUUCAACUUGUCGAGUCCUCAUUUUCAGAGUUGUGUCCACACAUCUCUCUAGCAAAUAUAUCCUUGGCCAGUCUUUAGGAGAACCAAAAUGAGCAGGAGAAGGAUUCCAACCACUAUUCCCACGGCACCUGAAGUGUAGCAGCUAAAAGAAAGACAAUAGCACGUGCAAGACACUCUUAAUCCAAAUCCCAGUAAUGGAGUUACAUGAUAGUCUGCUGCCUCUUGCCUCUUAAUUUAUAAAGGAUCAAGUGGUAUUAGAGGCAGUCAGCCAUGCAUCAUAAAGUGCUUAUCACGGCGUGUCAGCAUGUAAAAAAAAAAAGCCAAUCCACAGAGAAUGGGGAAUAAAGUCAUCAUCUCUUUAUCUAGCUGUUCAUGGGAAAGCUGGUCAUCAUAUUCUUGUCUGUGAGGGAGGAAUGUUGUUUAUGCUCAAAGAAAUGGUGUGUGACUUUCAUGAAAUGGUUUAGACAUGGAUUCUGGGCAAAAUAGCAAUGCAUGAAAUCAAUGAAACAGUAACCUUCAUUGUCUGAAAAUACACUGGUAACAACCCUCUUUCUUAUUUUCUAUCUGCUCAGCAAAUGGCACUAAUAAUUAAAAUGUUAAAUUCAAUUUUGAGCACAUACAUCUUUUAUACCCUCACAUAUAUGCGUGUAUUUUGGCAUUUCCAGGACUAUUUAUUGUGGCCUAUUACUGCAUAGUAUUAUGUAGAUCUGCAUUCUAUUAUUUGGAUAUGCACUACAGACAGUAUUCUGUAUUUCUAAGAUCUUAUAAAUUGUUUCUUUUUGUCUAUUUUCCAUGAUAAUACCAUAGCUGUAAGUGCUACAAAAACCCUUAAGAAAUUCUGGAGAGCCAAAAAAAAAGAAAUGUAUUCAGUCAAAAAACUUGUAAAAGUUUUAUCCUGAGGCUAUCAAAAGAAGAAGCAAAAUAAAUGAUUUUAAGCACUUGCCUUUGUUCGAAGAAUGGGAAAAGAAGUUUUACAAGUUACUUCUGCUUGUCCAGAAGUUGUUCCCAGAACUGCUCUCCAGAAGUUCUGUGCCUAGUUAAUGAUUCAGAUGCCAAGUUUAUAAACUUGGAAUUUAUCAAAUAAAAUCUUAUCCUACAUUUAGUCCGUCACUUUCAAGCCUAUCUGUUCUGUGUUAGGU
Molecule: long non-coding RNA, 1388 nt
Organism: Numida meleagris (helmeted guineafowl)
Lineage: Eukaryota; Metazoa; Chordata; Aves; Galliformes; Numididae
Exons: 3
Source: RefSeq, a predicted model, not a curated record